Molecule: ribosomal RNA, 446 nt
Filed under: uncultured bacterium
Lineage: Bacteria
Description: bacterial SSU rRNA
Rfam family: Bacterial small subunit ribosomal RNA
Source: RNAcentral
AAUGAACGCUGGCGGCAGGCCUAACACAUGCAAGUCGAACGGAUCCUUCGGGAUUAGUGGCGGACGGGUGAGUAACGCGUGGGAACGUACCCCUUUCUUCGGAAUAGCCUCGGGAAACUGGGAGUAAUACCGGAUAAGCCCUAUUGGGGAAAGAUUUAUCGGGAAGGGAUCGGCCCGCGUUGGAUUAGGUAGUUGGUGGGGUAAUGGCCUACCAAGCCGACGAUCCAUAGCUGGUUUGAGAGGAUGAUCAGCCACACUGGGACUGAGACACGGCCCAGACUCCUACGGGAGGCAGCAGUGGGGAAUCUUAGACAAUGGGGGAAACCCUGAUCUAGCCAUGCCGCGUGAUCGAUGAAGGCCUUAGGGUUGUAAAGAUCUUUCAGUGGGGAAGAUAAUGACGGUACCCACAGAAGAAGCCCCGGCUAACUCCGUGCCAGCAGCCGCGG